GACGAACGCUGGCGGCGUGCUUAACACAUGCAAGUCGAACGGAAAGGCCCUGCUUUUGUGGGGUGCUCGAGUGGCGAACGGGUGAGUAACACGUGAGUAACCUGCCCUUGACUUUGGGAUAACUUCAGGAAACUGGGGCUAAUACCGGAUAGGAGCUCCUGCUGCAUGGUGGGGGUUGGAAAGUUUCGGCGGUUGGGGAUGGACUCGCGGCUUAUCAGCUUGUUGGUGGGGUAGUGGCUUACCAAGGCUUUGACGGGUAGCCGGCCUGAGAGGGUGACCGGCCACAUUGGGACUGAGAUACGGCCCAGACUCCUACGGGAGGCAGCAGUGGGGAAUAUUGCACAAUGGGCGGAAGCCUGAUGCAGCAACGCCGCGUGCGGGAUGACGGCCUUCGGGUUGUAAACCGCUUUCGCCUGUGACGAAGCGUGAGUGACGGUAAUGGGUAAAGAAGCACCGGCUAACUACGUGCCAGCAGCCGCGGUGAUACGUAGGGUGCGAGCGUUGUCCGGAUUUAUUGGGCGUAAAGGGCUCGUAGGUGGUUGAUCGCGUCGGAAGUGUAGUCUUGGGGCUUAACCCUGAGCGUGCUUUCGAUACGGGUUGACUUGAGGAAGGUAGGGGAGAAUGGAAUUCCUGGUGGAGCGGUGGAAUGCGCAGAUAUCAGGAGGAACACCAGUGGCGAAGGCGGUUCUCUGGGCCUUUCCUGACGCUGAGGAGCGAAAGCGUGGGGAGCGAACAGGCUUAGAUACCCUGGUAGUCCACGCUGUAAACGGUGGGUACUAGGUGUGGGGUCCAUUCCACGGGUUCCGUGCCGUAGCUAACGCUUUAAGUACCCCGCCUGGGGAGUACGGCCGCAAGGCUAAAACUCAAAGGAAUUGACGGGGCCCCGCACAAGCGGCGGAGCAUGCGGAUUAAUUCGAUGCAACGCGUAGAACCUUACCUGGGUUUGACAUGGAUCGGGAGCGCUCAGAGAUGGGUGUGCCUCUUUUGGGGUCGGUUCACAGGUGGUGCAUGGCUGUCGUCAGCUCGUGUCGUGAGAUGUUGGGUUAAGUCCCGCAACGAGCGCAACCCUUGUUCACUGUUGCCAGCACGUUAUGGUGGGGACUCAGUGGAGACCGCCGGGGUCAACUCGGAGGAAGGUGGGGAUGACGUCAAGUCAUCAUGCCCCUUAUGUCCAGGGCUUCACGCAUGCUACAAUGGCUGGUACAGAGAGUGGCGAACCUGUGAGGGUGAGCGAAUCUCGGAAAGCCGGUCUCAGUUCGGAUUGGGGUCUGCAACUCGACCUCAUGAAGUCGGAGUCGCUAGUAAUCGCAGAUCAGCAACGCUGCGGUGAAUACGUUCCCGGG
RNAcentral lists this ribosomal RNA (1343 nucleotides) under uncultured bacterium. Its description in RNAcentral is "16S ribosomal RNA". It matches the Rfam family "Bacterial small subunit ribosomal RNA", at positions 28 to 1378 of the family's 1533-position model. The record is from RNAcentral.